RNAcentral lists this ribosomal RNA (253 nucleotides) under uncultured bacterium. RNAcentral describes it as "partial 16S ribosomal RNA". It matches the Rfam family "Bacterial small subunit ribosomal RNA", at positions 524 to 776 of the family's 1533-position model. The record is from RNAcentral.
UACGAAGGGGGCUAGCGUUGCUCGGAAUUACUGGGCGUCACGGGCGCGUAGGCGGAUAUCUAAGUCGGGGGUGAAAGCCCGGGGCUCAACCUCGGAAUUGCCUUCGAUACUGGAUAUCUUGAGUUCGGGAGAGGUGAGUGGAAUGCCGAGUGUAGAGGUGAAAUUCGUAGAUAUUCGGCGGAACACCAGUGGCGAGGGCGGCUCACUGGCCCGAUACUGACGCUGAGGCGCGAAGGCGUGGGGAGCAAACAGG